UUGACCUCGGAUCAGGUAGGGAUACCCGCUGAACUUAAGCAUAUCAAUAAGCGGAGGAAAAGAAACCAACAGGGAUUGCCUCAGUAACGGCGAGUGAAGCGGCAAGAGCUCAAAUUUGAAAGCUGGCUCCUUCGGGGUCCGCAUUGUAAUUUGCAGAGGAUGCUUCGGGAGUGGCCCCCAUCUAAGUGCCCUGGAACGGGCCGUCAUAGAGGGUGAGAAUCCCGUCUGGGAU
This 232-nucleotide ribosomal RNA is filed under the name Penicillium brasilianum. RNAcentral's name for it is "partial 28S ribosomal RNA". It matches the Rfam family "Eukaryotic large subunit ribosomal RNA", at positions 1 to 229 of the family's 3401-position model. Lineage: Eukaryota; Fungi; Ascomycota; Eurotiomycetes; Eurotiales; Aspergillaceae. The record is from RNAcentral.